Molecule: ribosomal RNA, 437 nt
Filed under: Drosophila ananassae
Lineage: Eukaryota; Metazoa; Arthropoda; Insecta; Diptera; Drosophilidae
Description: partial 12S ribosomal RNA
Source: RNAcentral
UCUUAAACUAGGAUUAGAUACCCUAUUAUUUAAAAUGUAAAUAAAUUGCUAAAGUAGUAAUAGUUAUGUUCUUGAAACUUAAAAAAUUUGGCGGUAUUUUAGUCUAUCUAGAGGAACCUGUUUUUUAAUCGAUAAUCCACGAUGGACCUUACUUAAAUUUGUAAUCAGUUUAUAUACCGUCGUUAUCAGAAUAUUUUAUAAGAAUAAUAAUAUUCAAUAAUUUUAAUAAAAAUUUAUAUCAGAUCAAGGUGUAGCUUAUAUUUAAGUAAUAAUGGGUUACAAUAAAUUUAUUUAUAUGAAUAAAAUUAUGAAAAAAUUUUUGAAAGUGGAUUUAGUAGUAAAAUUAUAAAGAUUAAUAAUUUGAUUUUAGCUCUAAAAUAUGUACACAUCGCCGCGUCGCUCUUAUUAUUAAGGUAAGAUAAGUCGAGACAUAGUAA